AACAAAUUUUUUCUUUGCCAUUAAAGCCAAGACUUUGGAAUGUAUUCUUCCAUGUUAUUUAAAUGCAACAUACGAAUAUAAUGUGCUAAAUAAAUUUUAUACAAUGCAUUAUUGCUUAAGUCUAUAUUAUAAUUUGAAUUAAAUUUAUCAAUUCUUUUAAUAUCCGAAGAAAUAAAUUGAAAAUCAUUGUGUUUAACAUCUUUUAGACCUACAUUUGUCAGAACAAAAGUAUUAUGUGUUAAUUUAUUAUAAACCAUUGAAUUAAACAUUAGACGACUUGGUUCUGCAUGUAAUAUUGUGACAAUUGUUAUUCAAAUAAAGGCAAAAAUUUCUUGGAUCAAUUGAUGUUUCAAUGAUAAAAGUAACAUCAACAUAUUUUUUCUUCAUUUUUCGCAUUAACAUUAAAGGUAAAGAUUGCCGCCAAUCUUUUUCUCUACUUCUGAUUUUUAAAUCUGUUGCCUUUUGAUUAAAAUCAAUAGCAGGCAUUACAGGAUGUGCGGAUAAAAGUCGUACUUCUAAAUAUGGACUUACUAAAGUUUAAAGGUUGAGGAAUUAUGGAAAAAAAAGUCUUGGAAAUUUUAUUUACAUUCGCCCCAACAACGUAAUUAGGAUUAUUUCAAUAUCUUAUAAUUUAUAUAGAUAAUAUUUUCCACGCUAUUUUGUGAAAUUCCAAUUAUUAAUCGUUCUGCAUAAACGCAAUAAAUUACGUAGAAUAGAUAAUAAAAUAACAUCGAUGUUUUAUUAUAUUCAAAUAAUAACACCGUCCGAUUAUA
Molecule: long non-coding RNA, 773 nt
Organism: Leptopilina boulardi
Lineage: Eukaryota; Metazoa; Arthropoda; Insecta; Hymenoptera; Figitidae
Exons: 3
Source: RefSeq, a predicted model, not a curated record